AAAAAAAUGCCUCUGACCUUAGUGAGGAAGAAGUCCCUUCUGGGAUUUCUGUAGUGUCACCUCGAAAGCUUCCAUGCCUGGCAAGGUGAAGCAGCUGGGCAGCAUUGCAGUGGUGUUAGCCAGUACAGGUGUCUGAAAGUUUCUACAGCCAAAACCUGGUAGCAAUAACUCUCUUGGACACUGGCUUGCAAAGAGGUGGGAAGAGAGGGGGAUGUCUGUCUGCGGGAUGUCUGUCUUCUCCAUGCAAGGUGGUGACAUGGCGGUGGUGCACACCUGGACCUGGAAGGCAGGAGGUGCUCCUCAUGCCCACAGGCUCUGAGCACAUAGACGGAAAAGGUGCGUUGUAAAGGCAUGCUGUUGGACACCAGGAAGCUCCACCCUCUAGUGUGCACCUCCGAUAUAUAGGCAGCAUUUCUUCUUCUUCUUCCUUCUUUUUUUUUUUUUUNCUUUUUUUUUUUUUUUUUCUUUUCUAUUUUCAGCAGUAAUAUGUCUCCGGGUACUUGUGUCGUAUCCUGAAACAU
Molecule: long non-coding RNA, 521 nt
Filed under: Anser brachyrhynchus (Pink-footed goose)
Lineage: Eukaryota; Metazoa; Chordata; Aves; Anseriformes; Anatidae
Description: lncRNA (ENSABRG00000001211.1)
Source: RNAcentral